GUGUCCUUUCCCUCUCCUUUCUGCAGGACUACCUUCUGUAUGGAUCCAGGUGUGACUGUCACAGCUGCAACAUGACAGAGCUUCCUGUUGCCAGAGCUCCAGAGACUUUGCUUAGCUGACUACGGUGGCGCUGCAGGCCGCUGAUGUCACCAGGCUAAGUUCCCACAAUGUUUCUUAGCAGAGAGGAUCCGAGAUGGACAAACUUAGCAGAAAAUCAAUGCGUCCCUGUGUGUCUGCUCCCACUGUCACUGAGGUCGCUGAGCUGUUGGUGAAUUUCACCCCUCUCUUUGAGGCUGCAGCCAAGGGAAAAUAGCUAAGAAAUCUGCUGAGGCUCAAGAAAUGUGAUGGUAACAUGUCUUUGGACAUGGUGAAGGAGGGAGACACGGGCAUCCAGGACAAGCUGGAAGGAGAUGCUGCUCUCCUUAAGCACGGGGCUGACGACAACGCUCCGGUCAAAGGAGGCUCAUCUCCCUGCGCAACG
Salvelinus sp. IW2-2015 is the source of this 481-nucleotide long non-coding RNA. RefSeq lists it as uncharacterized. Lineage: Eukaryota; Metazoa; Chordata; Actinopteri; Salmoniformes; Salmonidae. The record is from RefSeq and is a predicted model, not a curated record.